UUGGUGAGGUAAUGGCUCACCAAGGCGACGACGGGUAGCCGGCCUGAGAGGGCGACCGGCCACACUGGGACUGAGACACGGCCCAGACUCCUACGGGAGGCAGCAGUGGGGAAUAUUGCACAAUGGGCGAAAGCCUGAUGCAGCGACGCCGCGUGAGGGAUGACGGCCUUCGGGUUGUAAACCUCUUUCAGCAGGGAAGAAGCGAAAGUGACGGUACCUGCAGAAGAAGCACCGGCUAACUACGUGCCAGCAGCCGCGGUAAUACGUAGGGUGCGAGCGUUGUCCGGAAUUAUUGGGCGUAAAGAGCUUGUAGGCGGUUUGUCGCGUCCGCCGUGAAAUUUCGAGGCUCAACCUCGAACUUGCGGUGGGUACGGGCAGACUAGAGCGUGGUAGGGGAGACUGGAAUUCCUGGUGUAGCGGUGAAAUGCGCAGAUAUCAGGAGGAACACCGAUGGCGAAGGCAGGUCUCUGGGCCACUACUGACGCUGAGAAGCGAAAGCAUGGGGAGCGAACAGGAUUAGAUACCCUGGUAGUCCAUGCCGUAAACGUUGGGAACUAGGUGUGGGUCUCAUUCCACGAGAUCCGUGCCGCAGCUAACGCAUUAAGUUCCCCGCCUGGGGAGUACGG
This 626-nucleotide ribosomal RNA is filed under the name uncultured bacterium. RNAcentral describes it as "bacterial SSU rRNA". It matches the Rfam family "Bacterial small subunit ribosomal RNA", at positions 249 to 885 of the family's 1533-position model. The record is from RNAcentral.